RNAcentral lists this long non-coding RNA (2957 nucleotides) under Octopus vulgaris (common octopus). The record is from RNAcentral. Lineage: Eukaryota; Metazoa; Mollusca; Cephalopoda; Octopoda; Octopodidae.
UUCAAAGGUCCACGGCGCUUCAGUACCAUGUCACAAAAAUUAAGAAAUUUGCAUAAAGUGGAAGUAGAUGUCUUGAAAAAGGAAUUGGACAUCUUCCUCUCUACAAUACCGGAUGAACCAACAGCCCCGACAUGAGGUGCAGACGAGGGCUGCGGAAUCAAACUCAAUUGUACAUCAAAUGUACCAACAACUGGGUAAAAGACGCACACAGGAGUGACAAUGUGAAACACCCAGAGUGAGGAAGUCAGAAAGACCAUGGUGGUGCUCCAGCAUGACCACAGGCGCAUGCCUGAAACUAUUAAAAGAGUAUAUGUGUGUGUGUGUGUGAGAGAGAGAGAGAAAUGUUAGAAUUAAAACCCAAAUUUUAUAUAUUAUUAUAUGCAUAUAUAUAUAUAUAUAUAUAACUACAUACACACACACACAUAUAUAUAUAUAUAUAUAUAUAAGGCACGUGCUGUCAGUAAUUACUCAGGGUAGGCAGUUGGUAGCAUUUAUGUAGUAAAACACAAAAAAAAUAUGUGAAACCCAGAUGCACGACUGAGUUGAAGACAGAUUUCUUUCUGCCUUUAUGGCACGUACAGAAAACAGUGUUGUAGAAGUGUACAUAGCGCAUGUGCUACAGCAGUUCUAUGCAUAGCUUAAAUACAGGGAUUGAAAGGCAGGGGUAGAUUAUGCCUACCUAAUCUACAAAAACAAUUAAAUAUUUAGCAUUUUAUGCAUAGUAAUCAGAGUAACCUUCAUAAUUUUAUUGAAUUAGGUCCCUAUUUUGCUAUAAAAAGAAAAUGUUGCUAUCGAUCUAUUUUAUUCAAGAUAGGCACUGCCUAUCUUGCCUACCCAGGUGGCACGUUCCUGGUAUACAUCUAUAAAUGUGUGUGUGUGUGUAUGCAUUUAUACACACACAAAUGGAUAUCAUUAACUUUAUAAUUUAGGUAAAUUUAUAAAAUCUAUUUCUGUAGGAUAUCUUUAUGAAGCUCUAUUUUUUAAUAUGCAUUUUCCUAUGAAGAGGCCUUUCUAAAGUCAGUUCAAACACACUUGGGGUGGAUUUUAAACACUCAUAUCUAUUUUCUGAAUUUACUGAUAUUUUGGUUUCGGGAUUAUAAUUAUAAUUUAAAAUAUGGAAUUAAUUUUAGCUAAUGUUUUAUCCAUUCUUGUUGUAUCAAUGUUGAAACAAUUAAAGACUAUGAUUAACUUCAACCCUAUUAAUUCAUUAUUCAUUAUUCAAUCAGUCAAAGGUAUCCUCUAAAGCUUUUUGUGAUGGAUUCUCUUCAAUUUCUUGCUUUUAUCAUUCUGAAAUAUUUACUAAAUUACAAAAAUUAAUUAGGACAACAUUGUUUUUUUUCUUUUUAAUUUUGUUAAAUAAGAUCUUGUAAAGAAUUUAUCAAUUUUAUUCUGAUUUUUUUUUUAGUUUGUCAUUGUUUAUUUUUAAAAAUGGUGGGUAAAAUUUAUGCGUAACCAUGACAUUAUUUUUAUUUGCCCCGGUUUUUGUUUGGUUUUGUUUUUUUGUUUUUUUUACGUAAGAAUUAAAACCCAAAUUCAAUAUCAUUCUUCGUGAACCAUGACAUUUAUCGUCUGUGAGAAUUCUUUGAAAAAUCUUGCCUGAAUUGAUUUAAUGUUACAGAAAUUAAAAUUUUCGUUAAUUGAAAAAAAAACGAGAUUUUAUUUUUGAAUGAUUUAUUAUUUCAACAAUAGAAAAUAUUGGUUACACCUGAUCCUUAUUAAGCAAAACAAACUGGAUGUUUUUCUCUUUUAGUUUCGGGGUCAGCGUAAACCCUACUCGCUGGCAGAAUCGUGGACAUGUUGGAUGAAUGUGCUUCACAGCAGUUCUUCCGGCUCUUCACUUUUCUGAGUUCAAAUCAUACCAAGGUCAGCUUUUGUUUUAAUCCUUUUGGGGUCCACAAAACAAGUCCCAGUUGAGCACUGGUAUUAAUGGUAACAACUUGGGCCCUUAAAAGGCAGUGAGCUAGCAGAAACGUUAGUACGUCGGGCGAAAUGCUUAGCUGUAUUUCGUCUGCCGUUACGUUCUGAGUUCAAAUUCCGCCGAGGUCGACUUUGCCUUUCAUCCUUUCGGGGUCGAUUAAAUAAGUACCAGUUACGCACUGGGGUCGAUAUAAUCGACUUAAUCCGUUUGUCUGUCCUUGUUUGUCCCCUCUGUGUUUAGCCCCUUGUAGGUAGUAAAGAAAUAGGUGUUUCGUCUGCCGUUACGUUCUGAGUUCAAAUUCCGCUGAGGUUGACUUUGCCUUUCAUCCUUUCAGAGUCAAUUAAAUAAGUACCAGUUAUGCACUGGGGUCAAUAUAAUCGACUUGAUCUGUUUGUCUGUCCUUGUUUGUCCCCUCUGUGUUUAGCCCCUUGGUGGGUAGUAAAGAAAUAGGUAACAACUUGGGCCCUUCCUUAAACUUGCUGGCCUUGUACCAAAAUUAGAAUUAUUACAAACUUGAUUUUGAAGACCCUUUUUCGUUUCCUAGUCCUGCCCCGACCCCACAUUUCCCUGCUUUGUGUCAAGUUUAUGGUAAAUGCCCCAUGUGAAUAAACAUGAGGUUUUGACCUCCAGAGGUCAAUGCCAUUGUAAGUACGUCUCAGGAUUAUUUCAGCUUUACGGUUAGAGCUUUAGUUCAAUAUCAAAAUUAUGUCGUUUUUCUUAGCUUUUCGUACUUAACAUUUCUGUUUUUAUAAAAUCUUAAUAAAUACCAAAACAACAAACCACCGAUGAAGAACUAACAUGGAAUGAGAUUUUGUUGUUGUUUUUUUGUUUUAUAUUUUAAUAAAUUAUAUUUAUUUAUUCAACUUCUGUUUCCCGCUUGGAAUUUUAACAAUCAAAUGCAAUCCGAUGGUUUGUCAUCAAUCACAUCCUUUAUGCUAUUUUUUUUCAUUGUUGAAUGUUUUUAAAUGUUUUUAAAUGUUUCUUUUAUUUAUUUAUUUCUUUUUUGAAGUUGAAUAAAAGUUUGUUGACGAUUUACUUU